RNAcentral lists this ribosomal RNA (340 nucleotides) under Caldiserica clone OPT69. RNAcentral describes it as "bacterial SSU rRNA". It matches the Rfam family "Bacterial small subunit ribosomal RNA", at positions 524 to 864 of the family's 1533-position model. Lineage: Bacteria; Pseudomonadati; Caldisericota. The record is from RNAcentral.
AACGUAGGGGGCGAGCGUUAUCCGGAAUCACUGGGUGUAAAGGGUACGCAGGCGGAUUUGUAAGUUGGAUGUAAAAACUCAGGGCUCAACCUUGGGCUUGCAUCCAAGACUACAAGUCUAGAGAGCAGGAGAGGGGAGUGGAAUUCCCGGUGUAGGGGUAAAAUCCGUAGAUAUCGGGAGGAACACCAAUGGCGAAGGCAGCUCCCUGGCCUGUCUCUGACGCUCAGGUACGAAAGCGUGGGGAGCAAACAGGAUUAGAUACCCUGGUAGUCCACGCCCUAAACGAUGGGUGCUUGGUGUUGGGGGGUAAUUCCCUCAGUGCCGUAGCUAACGCGUUAAG